This 934-nucleotide ribosomal RNA is filed under the name Streptococcus anginosus. Its description in RNAcentral is "bacterial SSU rRNA". The stretch from base 1 to 548 matches the Rfam family "Bacterial small subunit ribosomal RNA", at positions 28 to 545 of the family's 1533-position model. Lineage: Bacteria; Bacillati; Bacillota; Bacilli; Lactobacillales; Streptococcaceae. The record is from RNAcentral.
GACGAACGCUGGCGGCGUGCUUAACACAUGCAAGUCGAACGAAAAGAGGGAAAGAGCUUGCUCUUUCCGGAAUUGAGUGGCAAACGGGUGAGUAACACGUAAACAACCUGCCUUCAGGAUGGGGACAACAGACGGAAACGACUGCUAAUACCGAAUAAGUUCCAAGAGCCGCAUGGCCCAUGGAAGAAAAGGUGGCCUCUACCUGUAAGCUAUCGCCUGAAGAGGGGUUUGCGUCUGAUUAGCUGGUUGGAGGGGUAACGGCCCACCAAGGCGACAAUCAGUAGCCGGGCUGAGAGGAUGAACGGCCACACUGGAACUGAGACACGGUCCAGACUCCUACGGGAGGCAGCGGUGGGGGAUUCUGCCGCAAUGGGCGAAACUUGACGGAUCAACGCCGCGUGGAGUGAUGACGGCCUUCGUGGUGAAUACUCGGUGAUGCGGGGCUGAAUGUGGAGAGUGGGAAUGAUGUCGUCUGUGACUGUGCGUGAAAAGUAUGCCUGGCUGACUACGUGCCGCCGCCCGGUAAUGUGUGUGUUGCAAUCUUUGUCGUAGUGUGUGCGUAUGGUGCGGUGGUGCUGCCUGUGCCUUUGGAGUCUGUGGUAUGCUGUUGUGGAAGGAUGUGUGUGCUGAGUGUGUGAGUGGUGUGUCCUAUUGUAGUUGUGUAUAUGAUUGGUGUAGAUGUGUUUUAUUGGUCGCUUGUGGUUGAGUGUGAGGUGUGGGCGCGAGUGGCUCGUGAGCAGAUUGAUGCCUGUUGUGUAUGGCUGUGUCGUUGUUGUAUGUUUCGUUUUGUGGUUGUGCUUGCUGGCUGUCAGACAAAUCGUGUGUGCUAGUUUUUGUGUGUGUGAUGUGUAUAGUUUAUGUUGUUUGAGCUUGUCGUGUGAUGGUAGUGGUAGUAUCGAUGACAGCCCUACAUCUGGUUUGAGUGAGAUACGUA